This 851-nucleotide long non-coding RNA is filed under the name Gossypium barbadense (sea-island cotton). Its description in RNAcentral is "long non-coding RNA (GBAR_LNC009578)". The record is from RNAcentral. Lineage: Eukaryota; Viridiplantae; Streptophyta; Magnoliopsida; Malvales; Malvaceae.
UGAAUUGGAGGUUGGUGGAUGUAGAUUUUUUAAGUGGUAUGUAAUAAAUUGUGCAACAGGGUGAAUGAAGUAAUACAUGAAUUACAUGAUAGCGAAAGAAAACUUGUUGUAAGACUCAAUUUUAGCCAGGGCCCAAAUACUUAAUUCUAGCCCAAAUACAAAUUAUAACCUAGUACCCAAAUAAAUUAACACCCCAAGCCCGAGUUUAAAUGCUGGCCCAAAAUACAAUUUUUGUCCUGAUUACACAAGCCCAAUGGCCCAAUUUUUUUUAGAAACAACAAACCCUAGCACUUAGAUCCUCCCUUUGGCCGACGUCGCCUCCACCUCCACGUACGCCCCCCGCACGACCCCUGGCUCGCGCGUUUCACGCCCCACGUCUGUGCGCUCCUCCUCCAUGUCUUCACGACCUGCGACCUGAGCGAGAAAAUAGCCAGAAACAACUUGUAUUCGGCUAUAAAGCCUUCAAAAUUCUCAUUGUAAAGGCCUUUGUUUUUCCUUUUCUUUUUCCAGAAAAAGAGAAUACAUAUCUAAAAACAACAAAUAUACAGAAAUCAACAAAAGCAGAAGAAUACAUUUCAAAGGUGGUUUAUCGCUAUUUCUAUUUUCCCCCCUUUAUUUUCUUUUGAAUCCGCAAUACAAAUACAAAAUAUAGGGGAGAGAGAAAGGGUCCCACCGGAGUUGUGCUCACAUUGUCGGCGGCCAUGGCGCGUCGGAUCUCCGACGAAAGUGGCACCGGUUGAAUAGGGGAGGAAAUGAGAGAAUGUUUCAAAGCUUUUAGGGUUUUUUUUUAAAAAAAUGUUAAAAUGUUUUUUUAGCAAAAAAAUGGUUUAAGUGAUACGAAUGAAACGGCG